This is a non-coding RNA of Salmo salar (Atlantic salmon), 55 nucleotides long. Lineage: Eukaryota; Metazoa; Chordata; Actinopteri; Salmoniformes; Salmonidae. The record is from Rfam.
UGCAUGCAUCACUGUAAGUCGCUUUCGAUGAAAAGUGUCUGCUAAAUGGCUUAUU